Molecule: long non-coding RNA, 1079 nt
Filed under: Panthera leo (lion)
Lineage: Eukaryota; Metazoa; Chordata; Mammalia; Carnivora; Felidae
Description: lncRNA (ENSPLOG00000021554.1)
Source: RNAcentral
GCUGGGUGCGCAGUUGUCCAAAGAAGGGUUGAGCAACUGGAAACGGGGACAUCAGCUGCUGCGCGGGCGCGCGCCGCAGGCCUUGGCGGCUCACAGUCGAGUGCGCGGGUUUUAUCUCGUCGCGGGUCCCGGGGGAGGGACGCCCCCCUCCGACCAGCUAGCAGCAGGCGCGCCGUAAACACGCUACGGGGACGCGAGGAUAAAGAGACAGACUCACGGGCUGGCGGAACACCCGGGUGUCGGGCGAGGCUACCGGUGGGGAGGGGGUUCUGUGGCAGGCUCGGCGACCCCCCCGCCCUGGCGUUAAGGCCCCAUUGGGAGACCUUCCUCUCUCCUCUCACUGGUCUCCACCUCGGGAAUUACGGACUCUGCCCCGAAGCCCGGGGUCUAGCGAUCGGGUGGGCGGGGGAGUGGUGCUCUGAGCGCGUCUCCGGGCGGGGGGCAAGUUCCCGGUGCCCUCGCCCCCUCGGGGCAGCGAAGGGGGUACAGACCGUGCUCCGAGGCAAGGCCGGCGAGGCCCCGGCCCUCUUGGGGCUCAGACGCAGGAGCCACAGCCCUGGGCUGGAGUGGAAACGCAGCCUCUGCAGGCUCCAGCAGGGGACAGGGGUGGAGAUGGGGGCGGAGGAGUCGGGGGCUCGGAAGGGGACAAAGAGCCGCCCGGCCUCGGGGGAGAGCGACCUCCGAGUCAGAGUCCCAUUGUUCGUCGUGUCUCCGACUACGCUGGACUCUGGUGCCCCCGGGAGGGAGAAGCGGAGCUGCCCUCCGCCUCUCGGGCAUUUGUUUAUUUGGGGCGGGGGAGGCCGGGCGGAGGACGCGGGCUUGGGAGGGGGCUCGGCGUCCAUUUCCGCGCGUCUCCUUUAAGGAAAGCCCUGCCCUACCUUUCCCACCGUUCCCCUCCCCGCAGCCGUACCUGCAUUUUAAAAGCGCCCUGUAGCCCGGGGAUUGGCCGAGGCCGCGUCCUCCGGGCGCAGAAACUUGAACCUCCGGGAGGGGAGGGGGGUGGUGGAAGCCGGGUGGCUGGACUGUACCAUCUCCUCGGCGUCCCCCGCGUGCGCCCCGCCCCUCCCACACACCCCCGG